UGAACACUGAUGAUGGAGAACAGUAGUUGAGAAAUGUGUGAAAAGAGAGGAAAUGCCCUGGGCUGAAAGCAUUUCUGCAUGGCAGCUUGAUGAAUGAACACUCCGUAGGAUUCUCCCUGAAAAAGCGGACCGUUUUAGUAGGGGCUGAACGUUGACAGGCGUUAACUGUAAAAGUGGAAGUGCAUGAUGGUUAUGCCUUCAAUUAGGGUGGCACCACGGGAUCUAACUCCCGUCCCUUGU
RNAcentral lists this non-coding RNA (240 nucleotides) under Bacillus infantis. RNAcentral describes it as "T-box sequence". It matches the Rfam family "T-box leader". From Rfam's summary of the family: Uncharged tRNA acts as the effector for transcription antitermination of genes in the T-box leader family. T-boxes are found upstream of many aminoacyl-tRNA synthetase genes and some amino acid biosynthetic genes usually in Gram-positive bacteria. The anticodon of a specific tRNA base pairs to a specifier sequence within the T-box motif, and the NCCA acceptor tail of the tRNA base pairs to a conserved bulge in the T-box antiterminator hairpin. Lineage: Bacteria; Bacillati; Bacillota; Bacilli; Caryophanales; Bacillaceae. The record is from RNAcentral.